UCCCUGGUGGUCUAGUGGUUAGGAUUCAGCACUUUCACUGCUGCAGCCCAGGUUCAAUCCCUGGUCUGGGAA
This is a non-coding RNA of Sus scrofa (pig), 72 nucleotides long. The record is from Rfam. NCBI's taxonomy places the organism in Eukaryota, Metazoa, Chordata, Mammalia, Artiodactyla, Suidae.